GGUUGAAGUGGUGUAAAGAUAAUAACACAUUAGAUUGCAACUCUAAAGUCGUGAGAAACCUCUGCCU
RNAcentral lists this transfer RNA (67 nucleotides) under Crangon hakodatei. RNAcentral describes it as "tRNA-Cys". The record is from RNAcentral. Lineage: Eukaryota; Metazoa; Arthropoda; Malacostraca; Decapoda; Crangonidae.